RNAcentral lists this ribosomal RNA (700 nucleotides) under Saccharomyces cerevisiae (brewer's yeast). RNAcentral's name for it is "eukaryotic LSU rRNA". It matches the Rfam family "Eukaryotic large subunit ribosomal RNA", at positions 62 to 777 of the family's 3401-position model. Lineage: Eukaryota; Fungi; Ascomycota; Saccharomycetes; Saccharomycetales; Saccharomycetaceae. The record is from RNAcentral.
AAACCAACCGGGAUUGCCUUAGUAACGGCGAGUGAAGCGGCAAAAGCUCAAAUUUGAAAUCUGGUACCUUCGGUGCCCGAGUUGUAAUUUGGAGAGGGCAACUUUGGGGCCGUUCCUUGUCUAUGUUCCUUGGAACAGGACGUCAUAGAGGGUGAGAAUCCCGUGUGGCGAGGAGUGCGGUUCUUUGUAAAGUGCCUUCGAAGAGUCGAGUUGUUUGGGAAUGCAGCUCUAAGUGGGUGGUAAAUUCCAUCUAAAGCUAAAUAUUGGCGAGAGACCGAUAGCGAACAAGUACAGUGAUGGAAAGAUGAAAAGAACUUUGAAAAGAGAGUGAAAAAGUACGUGAAAUUGUUGAAAGGGAAGGGCAUUUGAUCAGACAUGGUGUUUUGUGCCCUCUGCUCCUUGUGGGUAGGGGAAUCUCGCAUUUCACUGGGCCAGCAUCAGUUUUGGUGGCAGGAUAAAUCCAUAGGAAUGUAGCUUGCCUCGGUAAGUAUUAUAGCCUGUGGGAAUACUGCCAGCUGGGACUGAGGACUGCGACGUAAGUCAAGGAUGCUGGCAUAAUGGUUAUAUGCCGCCCGUCUUGAAACACGGACCAAGGAGUCUAACGUCUAUGCGAGUGUUUGGGUGUAAAACCCAUACGUGUAAUGAAAGUGAACGUAGGUUGGGGCCUCGCAAGAGGUGCACAAUCGACCGAUCCUGAUGU